GCUUUGGCUGAACGUUAACACUAAAAUUGGAACAAUACCGAGAAGAUUGCAGAACAUGGCCCUGUGCAAGGAUGAUAUGUAAGCAUAGAAAAAACAUUUUUAAUUUUU
Small nuclear RNA from Symphalangus syndactylus (siamang), 108 nucleotides. The record is from RefSeq and is a predicted model, not a curated record. Lineage: Eukaryota; Metazoa; Chordata; Mammalia; Primates; Hylobatidae.